Molecule: ribosomal RNA, 477 nt
Filed under: uncultured bacterium
Lineage: Bacteria
Description: bacterial SSU rRNA
Rfam family: Bacterial small subunit ribosomal RNA
Source: RNAcentral
GAUAAACGCUGGCGGCGUGCGUUACGCAUGCAAGUCGCACGGUCCCUUUUUUCGGAAAGGGAUAGUGGCGGACGGGUGAGUAACACGUACGUGACCUGCCCUGUGGCGGGGGAUAACGGCGCGAAAGUGUCGCUAAUACCGCAUGAGCUCUCUUUCUUGCGAGGAGGAGAGGAAACCUGCAAAGGGUCACGGGAGGGGCGUGCGGGGGAUUAGCUAGUUGGUGGGGUAACGGCCUACCAAGGCGACGAUCCCAGCUGGUCUGAGGGGACGGCCAGCCACACGGGGACUGAGACACGGCCCCGACUCCUACGGGAGGCAGCAGCGAGGGAAUCUUGGUCAAUGGGCGCAAGCCUGAACCAGCGACGCCGCGUGGGGGAUGACGGCUCUCGGGUUGUAAACCCCUGUUGUGUGGGAAGAAGAACUGACGGUACCACACGAGGAAGCCACGGCUAACUACGUGCCAGCAGCCGCAGUAAC